GUAAGUUCCGACCUGCACGAAUGGAGUAACGACUUCCCCGCUGUCUCAACCAUAAACUCGGCGAAAUUGCAGUACGAGUAAAGAUGCUCGUUACGCGCAGCAGGACGGAAAGACCCCGGGACCUUUACUAUAGUUUGGUAUUGGUGUUUGGUACGGCUUGUGUAGGAUAGGUGGGAGACUGUGAAGCGUGGACGCCAGUUCAUGUGGAGUCAUCGUUGAAAUACCACUCUGGUCACUCUGGAUAUCUAACUUCGGCCCGUAAUCCGGGUCAGGGACAGUGCCUGAUGGGUAGUUUAACUGGGGCGGUUGCCUCCUAAAAAGUAACGGAGGCGCCCAAAGGUUCCCUCAGCCUGGUUGGCAAUCAGGUGGCGAGUGUAAGUGCACAAGGGAGCUUGACUGUGAGAGAGACAUCUCAAGCAGGGACGAAAGUCGGGACUAGUGAUCCGGCGGCACAUUGUGGAAUGGCCGUCGCUCAACGGAUAAAAGGUACCUCGGGGAUAACAGGCUGAUCUUGCCCAAGAGUCCAUAUCGACGG
RNAcentral lists this ribosomal RNA (535 nucleotides) under uncultured Chaetoceros. RNAcentral's name for it is "partial Bacterial large subunit ribosomal RNA". It matches the Rfam family "Bacterial large subunit ribosomal RNA", at positions 1976 to 2511 of the family's 2925-position model. Lineage: Eukaryota; Bacillariophyta; Thalassiosirophyceae; Chaetocerotales; Chaetocerotaceae. The record is from RNAcentral.